UACGUAGGGUGCGAGCGUUAAUCGGAAUUACUGGGCGUAAAGGGUGCGCAGGCGGUCCUGCAAGUCAGGCGUGAAAUCCCCGGGCUUAACCUGGGAAUGGCACUUGAAACUACGGGACUGGAGUAUGGCAGAGGGAGGUGGAAUUCCACGUGUAGCGGUGAAAUGCGUAGAGAUGUGGAGGAACACCGAUGGCGAAGGCAGCCGCCUGGGCCAAUACUGACGCUCAUGCACGAAAGCGUGGGGAGCAAACAGG
This 253-nucleotide ribosomal RNA is filed under the name uncultured bacterium. RNAcentral's name for it is "partial 16S ribosomal RNA". It matches the Rfam family "Bacterial small subunit ribosomal RNA", at positions 524 to 776 of the family's 1533-position model. The record is from RNAcentral.